This 984-nucleotide long non-coding RNA is filed under the name Vulpes vulpes (red fox). RNAcentral's name for it is "lncRNA (ENSVVUG00000020016.1)". Lineage: Eukaryota; Metazoa; Chordata; Mammalia; Carnivora; Canidae. The record is from RNAcentral.
GUUAGAUACAAAUUCAGAUACAACCUAGGAAGUUGUACUGAAGCAGCAACUGUGCAGGAGAGAGAGAGAGGCUAUGGCACACGUGGCGGAAUAUUUUCUUGGUUUUUACUAAGCCUCAAAUAACUGGAACUAAAAAAGAAAAGUGGCUAAGUAUCUAGAAACUGCUAGAUCACCUGAAGUUUAUCAAGUAGCUCUGCCCUCCCCCCUAAUACUGGGUUUAAAAAAAAACAAAACAAAAAACCUUCUAUAAGAUAUAUCUUCUUAAUGGUCUUUAAGAUUUUGGCAUGCUGAAUUCCAAAGUACGAUGCCCCAAAUAAUAAUGCUUCAGCAGCAACCUGUGAACAAGAACCAUCUCUCUGCUGGAAGUCUGUUUAUUUUGCUUGAAACAGAAGGAGGAAAGGCACUUUUGACUUGUGUUAGAAUUUACAACUCAAGAAGAGCGAAAUUGAUUUCUUCCCUUUCAAAGCGGUUUCCUGAUUGCAAUCACAUAAAUUAAACCGGAGCCCCGAAGAAGUUGUGGGGACCGAGUAAUAAAUCUCCAAGAAGAGAUACGGGGAAUCCUUUGAACAUCUCGAGAAUAACGCAGUAAAAUGCAAACGGGAGGAGGACAGAGCGGGACAGAUGAAGAGGGUGGCGCUCCUCCCUCCGGGCAGAGAGGCAGCCUCCUAAUGCCGCUCAUGUGCUGUAGCAAGCAAGUUCAUAUAAGGACCACGUCACAUGUCUUUAAAAAAACGAAAAGAAGAAAACCAGGUGAUGUUCUGUUUGCACAUCUCCAGAUGGAGGUCGGGAGGGCUCGCCCUGGGUGGGGUCCCAGGACUCUCUGGCUCCAGCCCGGCCAUUCUCCAUGAGAGGAGAUGAGCUUAUUUCAUGGUUGGAAAGUAUAAAGGAGCAGAUGAAUCUCUGCAAGAUUAAAACUCGAUCUUCAGGAUGGUGGGUCCUCUCACCAAACUCCGUUGGCUCACACCACAUGGUUCUCUUUGUCCU